UACGGGGGGAGCAAGCGUUGUUCGGAAUCACUGGGCGUAAAGGGAGUCUAGGCGGUUUGGUAAGUGGGAUGUGAAAUGCCCGGGCUCACCCCGGGACCUGCAUCCCAAACUGCUGAGCUUGAGUACAGGAGAGGGUGGGGGAAUUCCAGGUGUAGCGGUGAAAUGCGUAGAUAUCUGGAGGAACACCGGUGGCGAAGGCGCCCACCUGGCCUGCUACUGACGCUGAUGAGCGAAAGCUAGGGGAGCAAACGGG
RNAcentral lists this ribosomal RNA (253 nucleotides) under uncultured bacterium. RNAcentral's name for it is "partial 16S ribosomal RNA". It matches the Rfam family "Bacterial small subunit ribosomal RNA", at positions 524 to 776 of the family's 1533-position model. The record is from RNAcentral.